This 253-nucleotide ribosomal RNA is filed under the name uncultured bacterium. RNAcentral describes it as "partial 16S ribosomal RNA". It matches the Rfam family "Bacterial small subunit ribosomal RNA", at positions 524 to 776 of the family's 1533-position model. The record is from RNAcentral.
UACGUAGGGAGCAAGCGUUGUCCGGAAUUACUGGGCGUAAAGGGUGCGUAGGUGGCCAUGUAAGUUAGGUGUGAAAGACCGGGGCUUAACCCCGGGGCGGCACUUAAAACUGUGUGGCUUGAGUACAGGAGAGGGAAGUGGAAUUCCUAGUGUAGCGGUGAAAUGCGUAGAUAUUAGGAGGAACACCAGUGGCGAAGGCGACUUUCUGGACUGUAACUGACACUGAGGCACGAAAGCGUGGGGAGCAAACAGG